UACGUAGGGGGCAAGCGUUGUUCGGAAUUACUGGGCGUAAAGGGCGCGUAGGCGGCCGAUCAAGUCAGGCGUGAAAUUCCCGGGCUCAACCUGGGGGCUGCAUUUGAUACGUGUGGGCUUGAGUGCGGAAGAGGGUCGUGGAAUUCCCAGUGUAGAGGUGAAAUUCGUAGAUAUUGGGAAGAACACCGGUGGCGAAGGCGGCGACCUGGUCCGUGACUGACGCUGAGGCGCGAAAGCGUGGGGAGCAAACAGG
Molecule: ribosomal RNA, 253 nt
Filed under: uncultured bacterium
Lineage: Bacteria
Description: partial 16S ribosomal RNA
Rfam family: Bacterial small subunit ribosomal RNA
Source: RNAcentral